This 485-nucleotide ribosomal RNA is filed under the name Daptonema sp. 201796799. RNAcentral's name for it is "SSU rRNA". It matches the Rfam family "Eukaryotic small subunit ribosomal RNA", at positions 89 to 577 of the family's 1831-position model. Lineage: Eukaryota; Metazoa; Nematoda; Chromadorea; Monhysterida; Xyalidae. The record is from RNAcentral.
GCGAAUAGCUCAUUACAACAGCCGUUGUUUCUUGGAUCUCCGUCYUACUUGGAUAACUGUGGUAAUUCUAGAGCUAAUACAUGCACCCGAGCUCUGACCUUACGGGACGAGCGCAUUUAUUAGACCAAAACCAAUCGGCUUCGGCCGUUGCAUGGUGACUCUGAAUAACUACGCAAAUCGCUUAGGUUCUAUACCGGCGAUAUAUCCUUCAAGUGUCUGCCUUAUCAACUUUCGAUGGUAGUUUAUGUGACUACCAUGGUUGCGACGGGUAACGGAGAAUUAGGGUUCGACUCCGGAGAGGGAGCCUGAGAAACGGCUACCACUUCUAAGGAAGGCAGCAGGCGCGCAAAUUACCCAUUCUCGGAAAGAGGAGGUAGUGACGAAAAAUAACGAGAUAACCCGCUCUAGCGAGUUAUCAUCGGAAUGASUACAAUCUAAAUCCUUUAACGAGGACCUANUGGAGGGCAAGUCUGGUGCCAGCAGCC